Cricetulus griseus (Chinese hamster) is the source of this 618-nucleotide non-coding RNA. The record is from RefSeq and is a predicted model, not a curated record. NCBI's taxonomy places the organism in Eukaryota, Metazoa, Chordata, Mammalia, Rodentia, Cricetidae.
CAUAGGCAUGAUGCUGACUGCUGCAUUCACCUGUCCAGUGCCCUGGCCUUUGCAUUUGAGCAGGUCUGGUCUCUGUCCUUCGAUGUCUCAGCCUUUAUCAGAGAGGAAGUUUCUCCUGUUGACUGUGAAGCCCUGCUAGGCAAGCAUUGCAUAGAGCCAGCCUCCUUGGCCUGAGAAGGGUGCUUCUGGAACCUGCAGCAUAAGGAACAGCAGCCUGACUUCCAGCCAGAAAGGGAGCACUUUGAGGGUGGUGAUUGAACUCAGCGCUUCACUACUGCUGGGCAGGCGCUCUGCCACUGGGCACUCCGCCAACUUGAUGACUAUUAUAGGGCACUACAGAACUGCUGUUUCAGAGUUCUUGUCCCUGACAUGGUCUUGUCAUUAGACCUUCUUGUUUAAGUUUGUCUUUUUCCUAUUUUGCUGCAUUCUCAAAAUAUUUACCAAGCAAACUCUUGACUGAAAUUUUAAUCGAUUUUAUAUAACAUUUCCUCCAUUCCUGAUAAAAUUUAAGCUGUUUCCAAGGUACUUAUCUUUAGCCUGUAAUUCUGGUUUGCAUAUGAAUGAUGUGUGUGUGUCUGUGUGUUUGUGUGGUGUCUGUCUGUCUGUAUCUGUGUGUCU